GGCCGGGUAGCUCAGUUGGUAGAGCAGAGGAUUGAAAAUCCUUGUGUCGGCAGUUCGAUUCUGCCCCUGGCCACCA
This 76-nucleotide transfer RNA is filed under the name Gammaproteobacteria bacterium. Its description in RNAcentral is "tRNA-Phe". It matches the Rfam family "tRNA". Rfam says of the family: Transfer RNA (tRNA) molecules are approximately 80 nucleotides in length. The record is from RNAcentral. Lineage: Bacteria; Pseudomonadati; Pseudomonadota; Gammaproteobacteria.